RNAcentral lists this transfer RNA (73 nucleotides) under Stegodyphus mimosarum. It matches the Rfam family "tRNA". Rfam says of the family: Transfer RNA (tRNA) molecules are approximately 80 nucleotides in length. Their secondary structure includes four short double-helical elements and three loops (D, anti-codon, and T loops). Lineage: Eukaryota; Metazoa; Arthropoda; Arachnida; Araneae; Eresidae. The record is from Rfam by way of RNAcentral.
GCCUUCGUGGUAUAGUGAACAGCACGUUCGACUCGUAUUCUGGAGGUCCGUGGUUCGAGUCCCGGCGAGAGCA